This is a long non-coding RNA of Toxorhynchites rutilus septentrionalis, 1360 nucleotides long. RefSeq lists it as uncharacterized. The transcript is spliced from 3 exons. The record is from RefSeq and is a predicted model, not a curated record. NCBI's taxonomy places the organism in Eukaryota, Metazoa, Arthropoda, Insecta, Diptera, Culicidae.
UGUUUUGAAAGCAAAUUUAGGACUAUUGAAACAAGUUUUUGGAUCAGAAAGUAACAAGUAUAGAACGCGUAGACAUUUUAUCUUUCGGAUGAAGUAUUUAUCAUACCAUUUCGUUCAGUUGUUUAGGAGCUAUUAACACUCAAAAUCUCGGUCUCCGGCGUAACGCUUUCGUUUUCGAAACUUUGAUUUUACACCCCGGUAUAGAAAUGAAAGACGUAGUCCUACGUCAAAAGAAGAGUCUUGUGGACGGACAAUUCAGUAGUACUGGCGUGGAUUCGAGCGGACCCGAGAAAUUAUCGACCAUUUGUCGCAAAUCGAGUAGGCGAGAUUCAGGAAACUACGUCCGUGGACGAAUGGAGAUGCGUUCCAUCGGAAUACAACCCGGCUGAUGAGGCGACGAAGUGGGGCAGUGGGCCGUACUUUAACGAUGACAGUCGGUGGUUCAAUGGUCCGGAGUUUUUGCGCUCUCCAGAAGAUGAAUGGCCGAGUUUUAUGGAUCAAAUGUUGGACACAACUGAGGAAAUGCGACCGUCAAUUCUGUUUCAUACCACAUGGGAACCUAUGAUUGCCUACGAGCGUGGGAAAAAUUGCUACGCAGCAUGACUUACGUGAUGCGAUUUUCGAAUAACGCCGGUAGAACGAGUCAAAAACGUGGAGGUCGAAUAACUCAACAAGAGUUCGAAGCUGCGGAAGUCGAGAUUGUAAAACAGGUGCAGAGAGAGGCUUACGCAGAUGAAGUGUCGACUUUGAAAGCCAACCAAAUUCUACCUGGAGACGAAGCGAUUCGGAGUUGGCCUUGAAAUUAUAUGCAGUUCAAUCAUUCAUCAUAAACAAAUCGGAGAUAAGUAUUCGUUUUUUUUACAUCAUUACAUCAGUCACCUCGGUCGGGAAACUAUUUUCAUAUUCCCGCCAAGGAUAAACAUCAGUUAUAUUCUGUACAUUACAACACUAUUGACCUUUUUCCUUGUCUUUACAGCUGACAUGAUCCCAGACUCGUAAUACUUGUUUACCAAAAACCAUCCAAGCUAUGGGAUUGAAGGUAACGGCGAGUUUGUCGCUAAGAUUGGAAUCUUUCUUCAACACAUCAUCGACCGUAAAAAACUUAAGGGACACGAGAGAACAAAAUACGGAUGAAACGUGCUAAUUCUACCGUCAGUCUGCUAAUCAGCUAAUGCAAAUCAGAGCGAUGCAGCAGGAAGAGGAACGGGAACUUGCUUUGGAAAUGCUCAUCAAAUUGAGGUGGUUGAGGCUGCGAUUAAAAUUUGCCUCUUGUACGCAGUUGUUAGAAUGAUUCCAACGAGAAUUAUUGAUGUUGUUUAUAGAAUAAGUUAUAAGUAUAAUGUAUUCUAAGUAUGUAGAA